GAUUUCUUCGUAGCUAUGGACCAAACCUAGAACAAUUCAGAGAAGAUUGGCAUGUCCCUGCUCAAGGAUGAUAUGUAAAUGUGUGAAGCAUUUCAUAUUUAA
Small nuclear RNA from Apodemus sylvaticus (European woodmouse), 102 nucleotides. The record is from RefSeq and is a predicted model, not a curated record. NCBI's taxonomy places the organism in Eukaryota, Metazoa, Chordata, Mammalia, Rodentia, Muridae.